RNAcentral lists this ribosomal RNA (471 nucleotides) under Schizonycha sp. SA1Ayel DA-2012. RNAcentral describes it as "partial 16S ribosomal RNA". It matches the Rfam family "Bacterial large subunit ribosomal RNA", at positions 1797 to 2535 of the family's 2925-position model. The record is from RNAcentral. Lineage: Eukaryota; Metazoa; Arthropoda; Insecta; Coleoptera; Scarabaeidae.
CGCCUGUUUAACAAAAACAUGUCUUUUUGAUUAUAAUUUAAAGUCUAACCUGCCCAAUGAGGAGUUAAAUGGCCGCGGUAACCUGACCGUGCAAAGGUAGCAUAAUCAUUAGUUUUUUAAUUGAAAGCUGGUAUGAAUGGUUGGACGAGAGAGUGACUGUCUCAAUUUAAUUUUAUUAGAAUUUUAUUUUUAAGUAAAAAAGCUUAAAUGAGUUUAAAAGACGAGAAGACCCUAUAGAGUUUUAUAUUUAAUAUAAUAAGUGUACUUUAGGAUUAUUUAUAUAUUUAUUAUAUUAAGUAUUUUGUUGGGGCGACAGAAAAAUUGAAAGAACUUUUUUUAUUGUAAAACAUUAAUUUAUGGUUGAUUGAUCCGUUAAUUAGAACGAUUACAAGAUUAAAUUACCUUAGGGAUAACAGCGUAAUUUUUUUUGAGAGUUCAAAUCGAAAAAAGAGUUUGCGACCUCGAUGUUGG